AAGAAACGUUGUGGACACAACUACAGAACACUCAACGUAACACAUUAUGUUUUCAAUGCAUUUUUUAUUUCUGAAGAAUGAUGUAUAAGAAUGCAUUAAUCAAUUAAUUAAGAAAUCAUGUGCGUUACGGGGCAACAUAGUGGUUAAGUGACACGUUUAAUUGCUGUUUCAGGUCUGUGUUAGAAGGGUAUUUUGUGGGAAUAGACGAUCUUUGUUUACGUUCGUCUCACGUACCGCAAAGGCUGCUGGUAGUAACCAGCCGUCAUGUAUAGCUCGUCCCCGCUGCGUCUUUUGGAAUUCUAGGGUGACCAAGGAAGGUCCCGCCUUUCUCGCCUCUGAUUGGCUAGAUGGGCUCUACUACGAUUGGCUCUUUCAUUUAGCAGCAAACCGUUUUCCCUUGCUAAGUGCAGACUGUCCUCUUGCCCGAGUUUUUUUUAUAUAUAAAUAUUUUUUUUAGAAAAUAAGAACUUGGCGCCAUUCUGUCCUGUUUUGCAAACGUUUUUUGUUUCAUUGAUUAAACACUGAAAAACGUAAGAAGUGAACUUAUAAAUCUUGUAUUUAUCACACUGUGGGACUUACUUUAUGUCUAUGGCUCUAAAGCAUUGAGGUUAUCUUAUUACAGCAGAGUACAUAGGAUACACCUGUGUGCCUGACCUGGGUAUGACAUAUAAUAAAACUGCCCUAUUUUACCCAGCUGUGCGCAGCAGGUCUGUUUCUCGUCUGGAAUAAUGAAAACUGCUGAAAAUAGGUCUAAAUCAUAAUCAGCUUUGAAUUAAUUUCAAUUAAAUAUACAGAUUUAAACACAUGAAAGAUGUGUCCUCACUUUCAUCCUGCUUGCUUAACAGCCUCAACCUAUGAAAGUAUUUCCAAAUUGUUAUCAAAAGGCAUGAUCAUGAAAAUACACCACCGAUUACAUCACAGAUUUUAUUGAACAAGUACAGAACUAUGGAACUAGGAUUGGGACAAUAUUCAGCGUAACUUGUACCAAGUUUUGUAACUGCAAACAUGUUUCAUCACAUGUAACUUUGGAUUCGUAACUUGUAACUUUGGAUUCGUAACUUGUAACUUUGGAUUCGUAACUUGUAACUUUGGAUCCGUAACUUGUAAUUCUCAAUUCGUACUUGUAUUCUUGUUUUGUAACAGGAACAUUGUAUUUUGUACAUGUAUUUUUUAUUUUGUAAAAGCAAACAUUCAUUCAGAAACAUGAAACUUUUGUUUUGUAACUAGCAGACUUCCAAACUGAAAAAAUCUAAGUACAAGUUUCAAAUCAAAACUCACAAAACACACAUUUCAUUCUACAGGUACAAACCUCACAUCCUACAGUGUUACGGAUCAUUUUGUCUCGAUUCUAGCGCCAGUGGGAGGAACUUGGGUGGAACCAAUGAGAGCACGACUCUUAGCUACCAAUCACGUUUCUCGAAUUCCUGUCCAAUCACUGGGAGAGGAGGGCAGGGUUUUGUCAGAGCCGUAAAGAGUUACGACACUCCAAGACUCCUAUGGAAUGGGGAAGUCACGUGGUUCACGUAGUGUCGAAUAGUUCCAAACAGCCCCGCUGCUGCAUUGACUGCAGUUCAUUUCAACUAUUCGGUGUUUCGGAAGGAUUUUCUCCGAACAAGGCUAUCCCAGCAUGCUUUGCGCGUCGGCUGUGGAUUUUCAACAGGCAGAGAAAGGGGAGAGCUAUGAAGUUUUAAACGACUGCAGGUGUCCAGGGUCAGGAGAGGCUUUACCUGUCCUGGGAGAGAGGCCUUCUACUGUCAUCAUGUUAUUGUUAUUUAGCUGUUUGAUAUUUGAACACAUUUAUUAAAACAAAUACUAACUGAGAA
Non-coding RNA from Nothobranchius furzeri (turquoise killifish), 1823 nucleotides. The record is from RefSeq and is a predicted model, not a curated record. NCBI's taxonomy places the organism in Eukaryota, Metazoa, Chordata, Actinopteri, Cyprinodontiformes, Nothobranchiidae.